UUCUGGUUGAUCCUGCCGGACCUGACUGCUAUCGGAUUGAUACUAAGCCAUGCGAGUCAUUGUAGCAAUACAAGGCAUACGGCUCAGUAACGCGUAGUCAACCUAACCUAUGGACGGGAAUAACCUCGGGAAACUGAGAAUAAUGCCCGAUAGAACAUUAUACCUGGAAUGGUUUAUGUUCCAAAUGAUUUAUCGCCGUAGGAUGGGACUGCGGCCUAUCAGUUUGUUGGUGAGGUAAUGGCCCACCAAGACUAUUACAGGUACGGGCUCUGAGAGGAGUAGCCCGGAGAUGGGUACUGAGACACGGACCCAGGCCCUAUGGGGCGCAGCAGGCGAGAAAACUUUGCAAUGUGCGAAAGCACGACAAGGUUAAUCCGAGUGAUUUCUGCUAAAGAAAUCUUUUGUUAGUCCUAGAAACACUAACGAAUAAGAGGUGGGCAAGUUCUGGUGUCAGCCGCCGCGGUAAAACCAGCACCUCAAGUGGUCAGGAUGGUUAUUGGGCCUAAAGCAUCCGUAGCCGGCUCUGUAAGUUUUCGGUUAAAUCUGUACGCUUAACGUACAGGCCGCCGGGAAUACUGCAAAGCUAGGGAGUGGGAGAAGUAGACGGUACUCGGUAGGAAGUGGUAAAAUGCUUUGAUCUAUCGAUGACCACCUGUGGCGAAGGCGGUCUACUAGAACACGUCCGACGGUGAGGGAUGAAAGCUGGGGGAGCAAACCGGAUUAGAUACCCGGGUAGUCCCAGCUGUAAACUAUGCAAACUCAGUGAUGCAUUGGCUUGUGGCCAAUGCAGUGCUGCAGGGAAGCCGUUAAGUUUGCCGCCUGGGAAGUACGUACGCAAGUAUGAAACUUAAAGGAAUUGGCGGGGGAGCACCACAAGGGGUGAAGCCUGCGGUUCAAUUGGAGUCAACGCCGGG
Molecule: ribosomal RNA, 914 nt
Filed under: uncultured archaeon
Lineage: Archaea
Description: bacterial SSU rRNA
Rfam family: Archaeal small subunit ribosomal RNA
Source: RNAcentral